AUUCCAUGAUGAGGACAUUCCCGAAUGUACUCUUGGAGAUGUUCCCAUUCUUCGGGAAUGGUCUCUUCUCCCUUUUGACAGAAGCUAGAAAUUCUUGCCCACAUAGCUGAUGUU
RNAcentral lists this small nucleolar RNA (114 nucleotides) under Sorghum bicolor (sorghum). Its description in RNAcentral is "Plant small nucleolar RNA R71". It matches the Rfam family "Plant small nucleolar RNA R71". Rfam says of the family: R71 is a member of the C/D box family of snoRNAs containing the C (UGAUGA) and D (CUGA) box motifs. Multiple nearly identical copies of this snoRNA have been identified in Arabidopsis, and it is thought to function as a 2'-O-ribose methylation guide for 18S ribosomal RNA. Lineage: Eukaryota; Viridiplantae; Streptophyta; Magnoliopsida; Poales; Poaceae. The record is from Rfam by way of RNAcentral.